GUCAUAUCACGUUGAAACACCAGUUCUCGCCCGGCCACCGAAGUUAAGCAACGUCAAACCUGAUCAGGACUUAUAUGGGUGCUCACUUGGGAAUACCAGGUGCUGUAAG
Molecule: non-coding RNA, 109 nt
Organism: Acanthosepion pharaonis
Lineage: Eukaryota; Metazoa; Mollusca; Cephalopoda; Sepiida; Sepiidae
Source: the annotation of a GenBank genome assembly